Molecule: ribosomal RNA, 320 nt
Filed under: uncultured eukaryote
Lineage: Eukaryota
Description: partial 18S ribosomal RNA
Rfam family: Eukaryotic small subunit ribosomal RNA
Source: RNAcentral
CCCUUAGAUGUUCUGGGCUGCACGCGCGCUACACUGAUGCACUCAACGAGUUUACGACCUUGCCCGAUAGGGUUGGGUAAUCUUUUUAAAAUGCAUCGUGAUGGGGAUAGAUUAUUGCAAUUAUUAAUCUUCAACGAGGAAUUCCUAGUAAGCGCGAGUCAUCAGCUCGUGCUGAUUACGUCCCUGCCCUUUGUACACACCGCCCGUCGCUGCAACUGAUUGGGUGACCUGGUGAACAUCUUGGACCGGCCCACUCAAUUUCGAGAGGACUGGAAAAGGCCGUAAAUCAGGUACAUCUAGAAAUUGCAAAAGUCGUAACA